UUGAGUUGGUUUAGCGAUCAUGGCCCAAACAAUACAUAUUUAUUGGAUGAUAACAAGUAUGCUAAUAACAAAAUAGGCCACCCUCAACCAAACUAUUCCCCUUAUCCGGCCCAUCCUUGACAGCCCAAUCCUCUACAACUCAAAUACCUUAUUCACACCAUUACUUUUACAAGCUGGCUCAAGACCAUUAGCCGACACGCAACUCAAAAUUCUGAAAAACCAGAGACACGUGUCUCCAGCACACUCUUCUGCACAGAAUCUUACACGUGGAUUCUUUUGUCUCCCAUUAGUAGGUGUAAGGAUAUACAUGGCCCGAUGUAACUCGAAUAUCCGUAAAAAUGUUAUUGCGGUACUGAAAAUAUACACAUUCAUAUGUCUGAUCAACGUUCUGUCAGGUUUUCACUCAAGAAGACGAUCUAGUAUAGAGAAGUACUAAGAAAGUUAAAACGCAAGGAAAAGUGAAUCUUAAUCACCCACCUGAUUGCAAGGAAAUUGUACCAGUUGAGGAGAGGAACACACCAAUCCAAAAAUGUUUAUAUAAGGAAUUUCUGCUGACCGGUUCUGGAUUGGAAGGCAACCAUGAGUUCUCGUCCAUUAUGGACGAUGAUAAACCCAAUUCGGAGGACAAGUGGUAUAAAGAUGAUGAGAAUGGGGUGAAUGGUGGAAAACCAUUUAACCCAUGUCCUAC
This 688-nucleotide long non-coding RNA is filed under the name Arachis ipaensis. RNAcentral's name for it is "long non-coding RNA (AIPA_LNC001337)". The record is from RNAcentral. Lineage: Eukaryota; Viridiplantae; Streptophyta; Magnoliopsida; Fabales; Fabaceae.